UUGGAGGGCAAGUCUGGUGCCAGCAGCCGCGGUAAUUCCAGCUCCAAUAGCGUAUAUUAAAGUUGUUGCAGUUAAAAAGCUCGUAGUUGAAUUUCGGGAUCAAUAUAACGGUCAUGCCGUUGGUAUGCACUGUUAUAAUUGAUUUCUCACCUUCUAAAGAACCGUAAUGCCAUUAAUUUGGUGUCACGGGGAAUUAGGACUGUUACCUUGAAAAAAUUAGAGUGUUUAAAGCAGGCUCACGCUUGAAUACAUUAGCAUGGAAUAAUGAAAUAGGACAUCCGAUUCUAUUUUGUUGGUUUCUAGGAUCGAUGUAAUGAUUAAUAGGGAUAGUUGGGGGCAUUAGUAUUCAAUUGUCAGAGGUGAAAUUCUUGGAUUUAUUGAAGACUAACUACUGCGAAAGCAUUUGCCAAGGAUGUUUUCAUUAAUCAAGAACGAAAGUUAGGGGAUCGAAGACGAUCAGAUACCGGCGUAGUCUUAACCAUAAACUAUGCCGACUAGGGAUCGGAUGAUGUUAAUUUUUUAAUGACUCAUUCGGCGCCUUACGGGAAAC
Molecule: ribosomal RNA, 550 nt
Filed under: Funneliformis mosseae
Lineage: Eukaryota; Fungi; Glomeromycota; Glomeromycetes; Glomerales; Glomeraceae
Description: SSU rRNA
Rfam family: Eukaryotic small subunit ribosomal RNA
Source: RNAcentral